UCUGAGCUGUUAUGGCAAGCUACUUCAAU
This 29-nucleotide small RNA is filed under the name Bombyx mori (domestic silkworm). Its description in RNAcentral is "ovarian small RNA-29941". Lineage: Eukaryota; Metazoa; Arthropoda; Insecta; Lepidoptera; Bombycidae. The record is from RNAcentral.